Molecule: long non-coding RNA, 1443 nt
Filed under: Lynx pardinus (Iberian lynx)
Lineage: Eukaryota; Metazoa; Chordata; Mammalia; Carnivora; Felidae
Source: RNAcentral
CCCUGUGUAAUUUGAGUCCUUUCUAGCUCCAGCUGUGGUCCCUCUCUACUUAGGGUUUAAUUAUUAGCAGAGCCAAUCAUGCCCUGCCAGCAUUCCUUUUAUACAGGCUGAUAUUAUGUGAGUAAAACCAACUUUUUAUUUUUUUUCACAGUGCAGCACUGAAACCUUAGAAUUUUUCUACUAACUAUACUCAUGCCUCCUCCCCCAACAACAUCUACUUUUAAGAUAGCAAAACUAUAUUUUUAUCUUACUCUGUUAUUACUUUUGAUGGGGUUUAUUUAGCACUAUCCCCAAAAGAUAUUUUUCACUGACCAAAAAAGUUCUAAGUUGUUUGAAUACAAAAAUGUAUUUCUUCAGUAGUUACAUUUCUGAGUGUAUUCAUUUGCUAGGACUGCUACUUGGAAAAACCACAAACUGUCUGAAAAUACAGAAAUAUAUUGUCUUACAAAGAAUUCUGUAAUCUAAAAGUACUAGUUAAAGAUGUCAGCAGGGAUAGUUCCUUCUGAGAACUAUGAGAGAAAAUAUGCUUCUUACCUCUCUCAUUGCUUCUGGUCUUUUUCUGGAAAUCUUUGGCAUUAUGUGCCUUAUAGAAGCAUCAGUCACAUCUCAGCCUUCAUUUAACAUGGUAUUCUCCCUGUUUCUGUCUGCAUCCAAAUUUUCCCAUUUGAUAAGGACACCAGUCAUAUUGUAUUAGGGGCCCAUCAUAUGACCCCAUCUUAACCAAUUGCAUCUACAACAAUCCUUUUUUCCAAAUAAGAUAAUAUUAUUUUUUAAGUUUAUUUAUUUUUGAGAGAAAGAGAGAUGAUGAAGGAUUGGCAGAGAGAGAGGGAGACAGAGUCCCAGGCAGGCUCUGAGCCAUCAGCACAGAGCCCAACGUGGGGCUUGAAUCCACAAACCAUGAGAUCAUGACCUGAGCUAAAGCCAAAAGCUGGUUGCUUAACCGACUAAGGCACCCAGGCACCAAAAAUAUGAUAAUAUUCUUAGAUAAUGGGGCUUAAGACUUCAACAUAUGAAUUUUGGGAGACAAAAUUCAACCCAUAAUACAGCAAUUUAAUUUAUACAUUUUUAAAGUUAGUUUAUAUUCUUUUCCAGGCCACUAACUUAUUUAAUGACAAUAAAGAAACUAAAUGUAAGGAAACAGAGGAACAAUGAAAAUAGUGUUAAUCACACAGAAUUUUCCCUAUACGAAGAUCCCCUCUGAACAUAUUAAAGAACAUUAAAUAGAACAUACCAACUUUAGCUGUGUCUUAUGGAUAUAUGUCUUGUAUAUCCCUGAGAUCUAUGCAUUCAUGUGGGAAUUGAAAAGGAGUCACAUUUUAUUAGAGGCAUCAUUCACUUUAUCUUAUGGCAAACACUGCCCACAAGUAAGGAAAACUUUCACAAUUUACAGGAAUAGUGACCUAAUUAACCAACCAUAAAAUUUCCAAAUCCUUACUUCUCAUU